Molecule: ribosomal RNA, 485 nt
Filed under: uncultured bacterium
Lineage: Bacteria
Description: bacterial SSU rRNA
Rfam family: Bacterial small subunit ribosomal RNA
Source: RNAcentral
GAUGAACGCUAGCGGGAGGCUUAACACAUGCAAGUCGAGGGGCAUCACGAGGUAGCAAUACUUUGGUGGCGACCGGCGCACGGGUGAGUAACACGUAUGCAACCUACCCUGUACAGGGGGAUAACCCGGAGAAAUUCGGACUAAUAUUCCAUAAUGAUAUUAGAGGGCAUCCUUUAGUAUUUAAAGCUUCGGCGGUACAGGAUGGGCAUGCGCAACAUUAGCUAGUUGGGAGGGUAACGGCCUACCAAGGCAAUGAUGUUUAGGGGACCUGAGAGGGUGAUCCCCCACACUGGUACUGAGACACGGACCAGACUCCUACGGGAGGCAGCAGUGAGGAAUAUUGGUCAAUGGGCGGAAGCCUGAACCAGCCAUCCCGCGUGCAGGAAGACGGCCCUAUGGGUUGUAAACUGCUUUUCAGUGGGCGAAACCCUCGUACGCGUACGGGAUUGACGGUACACUGGGAAUAAGCAUCGGCUAACUCCGUG